CGUAACACGUGGGCAACCUGCCCUAGAGUGGGGGACAACAUUCCGAAAGGGGUGCUAAUACCGCAUGUGUAUCGGAAUGGCAUCAUUCAGGAUACAAAGGAUUUAUUCGCUCUAGGAUGGGCCCGCGGCCUAUCAGCUUGUUGGUGAGGUAACGGCUCACCAAGGCUACGACGGGUAGCUGGUCUGAGAGGACGAUCAGCCGGAUUGGGACUGAGAUACGGCCCAG
Molecule: ribosomal RNA, 226 nt
Filed under: uncultured bacterium
Lineage: Bacteria
Description: partial 16S ribosomal RNA
Rfam family: Bacterial small subunit ribosomal RNA
Source: RNAcentral